UUUUAGCGAUAGCGUAACAGCUCAGUGGUCUGAGCCUCCCUGUAAAAAGGGUAUAUUGCCUGGUGAGGGCGCCAAAAAUGUAACGGGUCUAUAGUAGUUGUCUCUCUGUUCCAGCUUUGGAUAUGGAGGGAGUGGCAGUUUCUUUACUGUCUCACCGAAACCCUGUCCUAGAUGUAAAAUUCUAGGGGUAGCAGAAUACCCAGCAAAUGGAAUGAAGCUUGCUCAUUGCGCCGGUGGACAUAGCUGGGCUAAGAACGCUGACAUGAGUAGCCUAAAAGGAGGGUAAUUCCCUCUUCGCCGAAAGCAGAAGGGUUUCAUUUGUAAGGUCUAUACCUAGAUGAUUAAAGCAGCGGCCUCUAAGGUUCAGAGUAACAAAUUAGUUCCGAUGAGUAACUCUUCUAUAGGGCAGUAACCUUCCUUAUAAGUUUACCUUCAAGUAAUUAGAGGUAUACUUCAAAGAGUAAGGUUCGGGAAAGAGCCCUACAGAAUCAAUCUUAAAACCGUACCCUAAACCGACACAGGUCUGCAAGUAGAGCAUACUAAGGCGUAGAGAUAAUCGUCUUGAAGGAACUCGGCAAAAUGACCCCGUAACUUCGGGAGAAGGGGUGCCACUAAUAAGUGGCGGCACUAAACA
RNAcentral lists this ribosomal RNA (634 nucleotides) under Rhizophagus intraradices. RNAcentral describes it as "partial large subunit ribosomal RNA". It matches the Rfam family "Bacterial large subunit ribosomal RNA", at positions 1121 to 1788 of the family's 2925-position model. The record is from RNAcentral. Lineage: Eukaryota; Fungi; Glomeromycota; Glomeromycetes; Glomerales; Glomeraceae.